RNAcentral lists this ribosomal RNA (440 nucleotides) under uncultured bacterium. Its description in RNAcentral is "partial 16S ribosomal RNA". It matches the Rfam family "Bacterial small subunit ribosomal RNA", at positions 338 to 795 of the family's 1533-position model. The record is from RNAcentral.
CCUACGGGUGGCAGCAGUAGGGAAUAUUGCUCAAUGGGGGAAACCCUGAAGCAGCAACGCCGCGUGGAGGAUGAAGGUUUUCGGAUUGUAAACUCCUUUUGUUAGAGAAGAUAAUGACGGUAUCUAACGAAUAAGCACCGGCUAACUCCGUGCCAGCAUCCGCGGUAAUACGGAGGGUGCAAGCGUUACUCGGAAUCACUGGGCGUAAAGAGCGCGUAGGCGGGAUAGCAAGUCAGAUGUGAAAUCCUAUGGCUUAACCAUAGAACUGCAUUUGAAACUGUUAUUCUGGAGUGUGGGAGAGGUAGGUGGAAUUCUUGGUGUAGGGGUAAAAUCCGUAGAGAUCAAGAGGAAUACUCAUUGCGAAGGCGACCUGCUGGAACAUUACUGACGCUGAUGCACGAAAGCGUGGGGAGCAAACAGGAUUAGAUACCCUUGUAGUC